CAGAGGGUGCGAGCGUUAAUCGGAUUUACUGGGCGUAAAGCGUGCGUAGGCGGCUUCUUAAGUCGGAUGUGAAAUCCCUGAGCUUAACUUAGGAAUUGCAUUCGAUACUGGGAAGCUAGAGUAUGGGAGAGGAUGGUAGAAUUCCAGGUGUAGCGGUGAAAUGCGUAGAGAUCUGGAGGAAUACCGAUGGCGAAGGCAGCCAUCUGGCCUAAUACUGACGCUGAGGUACGAAAGCAUGGGGGAGCAAACAGGAUU
This 255-nucleotide ribosomal RNA is filed under the name uncultured bacterium. Its description in RNAcentral is "partial 16S ribosomal RNA". It matches the Rfam family "Bacterial small subunit ribosomal RNA", at positions 526 to 779 of the family's 1533-position model. The record is from RNAcentral.